Molecule: ribosomal RNA, 428 nt
Filed under: uncultured bacterium
Lineage: Bacteria
Description: bacterial SSU rRNA
Rfam family: Bacterial small subunit ribosomal RNA
Source: RNAcentral
GAUGAACGCUAGCGACAGGCCUAACACAUGCAAGUCGAGGGGUAUCGGUUUCGGCCGAGAGACCGGCGCACGGGUGCGUAACGCGUAUGUAACCUGCCUCACACUGGGGGAUAGCCUUCCGAAAGGGAGAUUAAUACCGCAUAAUACUAUUGUCCUGCCUGGGAUGAUAUUUAAAACUUCGGUGGUGUGAGAUGGACAUGCGUAUGAUUAGCUAGUUGGCGGGGUAACGGCCCACCAAGGCAACGAUCAUUAGGGGUUCUGAGAGGAAGAUCCCCCACACUGGUACUGAGACACGGACCAGACUCCUACGGGAGGCAGCAGUGAGGAAUAUUGGUCAAUGGGCGCAAGCCUGAACCAGCCAUGUCGCGUGCAGGAAGACGGCCCUAUGGGUUGUAAACUGCUUUUGUAUGGGAAGAAACGACGGUACG